This 253-nucleotide ribosomal RNA is filed under the name uncultured bacterium. Its description in RNAcentral is "partial 16S ribosomal RNA". It matches the Rfam family "Bacterial small subunit ribosomal RNA", at positions 524 to 777 of the family's 1533-position model. The record is from RNAcentral.
UACGAAGGGGGCUAGCGUUGCUCGGAAUCACUGGGCGUAAAGCGCACGUAGGCGGCUUGUUAAGUCAGGGGUGAAAUCCUGGAGCUCAACUCCAGAACUGCCUUUGAUACUGGCGAGUCUUGAGUCGGAGAGGUGAGUGGAACUGCGAGUGUAGAGGUGAAAUUCGUAGAUAUUCGCAAGAACACCAGUGGCGAAGGCGGCUCACUGGCCCGAUACUGACGCUGAGGUGCGAAAGCGUGGGGAGCAAACAGGG